GAGAGAUGGCUGAGUGGUUGAUAGCCCCGGUCUGRAAAACUGGUAUAGUU
RNAcentral lists this transfer RNA (50 nucleotides) under Stelis sclerophylla. Its description in RNAcentral is "partial tRNA-Ser". The record is from RNAcentral. Lineage: Eukaryota; Viridiplantae; Streptophyta; Magnoliopsida; Asparagales; Orchidaceae.